GACGAACGCUUUUGGCGUGCUUAACACAUGCAAGUCGAACGGAAAGGCCCUGCUUUUGUGGGGUGCUCGAGUGGCGAACGGGUGAGUAACACGUGAGUAACCUGCCCUUGACUUUGGGAUAACUUCAGGAAACUGGGGCUAAUACCGGAUAGGAGCUCCUGCUGCAUGGUGGGGGUUGGAAAGUUUCGGCGGUUGGGGAUGGACUCGCGGCUUAUCAGCUUGUUGGUGGGGUAGUGGCUUACCAAGGCUUUGACGGGUAGCCGGCCUGAGAGGGUGACCGGCCACAUUGGGACUGAGAUACGGCCCAGACUCCUACGGGAGGCAGCAGUGGGGAAUAUUGCACAAUGGGCGGAAGCCUGAUGCAGCAACGCCGCGUGCGGGAUGACGGCCUUCGGGUUGUAAACCGCUUUCGCCUGUGACGAAGCGUGAGUGACGGUAAUGGGUAAAGAAGCACCGGCUAACUACGUGCCAGCAGCCGCGGUGAUACGUAGGGUGCGAGCGUUGUCCGGAUUUAUUGGGCGUAAAGGGCUCGUAGGUGGUUGAUCGCGUCGGAAGUGUAAUCUUGGGGCUUAACCCUGAGCGUGCUUUCGAUACGGGUUGACUUGAGGAAGGUAGGGGAGAAUGGAAUUCCUGGUGGAGCGGUGGAAUGCGCAGAUAUCAGGAGGAACACCAGUGGCGAAGGCGGUUCUCUGGGCCUUUCCUGACGCUGAGGAGCGAAAGCGUGGGGAGCGAACAGGCUUAGAUACCCUGGUAGUCCACGCUGUAAACGGUGGGUACUAGGUGUGGGGUCCAUUCCACGGGUUCCGUGCCGUAGCUAACGCUUUAAGUACCCCGCCUGGGGAGUACGGCCGCAAGGCUAAAACUCAAAGGAAUUGACGGGGCCCCGCACAAGCGGCGGAGCAUGCGGAUUAAUUCGAUGCAACGCGUAGAACCUUACCUGGGUUUGACAUGGAUCGGGAGUGCUCAGAGAUGGGUGUGCCUCUUUUGGGGUCGGUUCACAGGUGGUGCAUGGCUGUCGUCAGCUCGUGUCGUGAGAUGUUGGGUUAAGUCCCGCAACGAGCGCAACCCUUGUUCACUGUUGCCAGCACGUUAUGGUGGGGACUCAGUGGAGACCGCCGGGGUCAACUCGGAGGAAGGUGGGGAUGACGCCAAGUCAUCAUGCCCCUUAUGUCCAGGGCUUCACGCAUGCUACAAUGGCUGGUACAGAGAGUGGCGAGCCUGUGAGGGUGAGCGAAUCUCGGAAAGCCGGUCUCAGUUCGGAUUGGGGUCUGCAACUCGACCUCAUGAAGUCGGAGUCGCUAGUAAUCGCAGAUCAGCAACGCUGCGGUGAAUACGUUCCCGGG
This 1343-nucleotide ribosomal RNA is filed under the name uncultured bacterium. RNAcentral's name for it is "16S ribosomal RNA". It matches the Rfam family "Bacterial small subunit ribosomal RNA", at positions 28 to 1378 of the family's 1533-position model. The record is from RNAcentral.